This 1090-nucleotide ribosomal RNA is filed under the name Enterobacter asburiae. RNAcentral describes it as "bacterial SSU rRNA". It matches the Rfam family "Bacterial small subunit ribosomal RNA", at positions 35 to 1117 of the family's 1533-position model. Lineage: Bacteria; Pseudomonadati; Pseudomonadota; Gammaproteobacteria; Enterobacterales; Enterobacteriaceae. The record is from RNAcentral.
GCCAAUAGGAGGAGCUACACAUGCAGUCGAGCGGUAGCACAGAGAGCUUGCUCUCGGGUGACGAGCGGCGGACGGGUGAGUAAUGUCUGGGAAACUGCCUGAUGGAGGGGGAUAACUACUGGAAACGGUAGCUAAUACCGCAUAACGUCGCAAGACCAAAGAGGGGGACCUUCGGGCCUCUUGCCAUCAGAUGUGCCCAGAUGGGAUUAGCUAGUAGGUGGGGUAACGGCUCACCUAGGCGACGAUCCCUAGCUGGUCUGAGAGGAUGACCAGCCACACUGGAACUGAGACACGGUCCAGACUCCUACGGGAGGCAGCAGUGGGGAAUAUUGCACAAUGGGCGCAAGCCUGAUGCAGCCAUGCCGCGUGUAUGAAGAAGGCCUUCGGGUUGUAAAGUACUUUCAGCGGGGAGGAAGGUGUUGAGGUUAAUAACCUCAGCAAUUGACGUUACCCGCAGAAGAAGCACCGGCUAACUCCGUGCCAGCAGCCGCGGUAAUACGGAGGGUGCAAGCGUUAAUCGGAAUUACUGGGCGUAAAGCGCACGCAGGCGGUCUGUCAAGUCGGAUGUGAAAUCCCCGGGCUCAACCUGGGAACUGCAUUCGAAACUGGCAGGCUAGAGUCUUGUAGAGGGGGGUAGAAUUCCAGGUGUAGCGGUGAAAUGCGUAGAGAUCUGGAGGAAUACCGGUGGCGAAGGCGGCCCCCUGGACAAAGACUGACGCUCAGGUGCGAAAGCGUGGGGAGCAAACAGGAUUAGAUACCCUGGUAGUCCACGCCGUAACGAUGUCGAUUUGGAGGUUGUUCCCUUGAGGAGUGGCUUCCGGAGCUAACGCGUUAAAUCGACCGCCUGGGGAGUACGGCCGCAAGGUUAAAACUCAAAUGAAUUGACGGGGGCCCGCACAAGCGGUGGAGCAUGUGGUUUAAUUCGAUGCAACGCGAAGAACCUUACCUACUCUUGACAUCCAGAGAACUUAGCAGAGAUGCUUUGGUGCCCUUCGGGAACUCUGAGACAGGUGCUGCAUGGCUGUCGUCAGCUCGUGUUGUGAAAUGUUGGGUUAAGUCCCGCAACGAGCGCAACCCUUAUCCUUUGUUG